AAGGAUCACUAGUGAUUUAAAUACUUGUUAGAGUCUCGUAAGAGCUCUUCAAGUCCCUUCACAUCCACAUACACCCUGUGCUCUUGGCUGCUCUUCGGAAACCGUAAGGUAGAAACGAGAGUAGUUCAACCCCCCUUUUUAAUUAAACUCAGUAUAAUGAAUGUAAACAAGUUUUAAUAAACAUAAUAAAACUUUCAACAACGGAUCUCUUGGCUCUC
This 218-nucleotide unclassified non-coding RNA is filed under the name uncultured fungus. Its description in RNAcentral is "partial contains 18S rRNA, ITS1, 5.8S rRNA, ITS2 and 28S rRNA". Lineage: Eukaryota; Fungi. The record is from RNAcentral.